UGAUAGAGUUUCUUUCAACCUCUCCUAUUAUUGAAAGACUUAACUUUUUGUUGAUUUAGGAGCCAUGAGCAAAAAAUUUAACGAUGUUUCGACAACAUAUCUCUCGACGAUGUUAAAGGUCGUUGAUAAAGAAAGGGAAUAUGCCAGUGAAGUGUAGGUGAAAAGAAGGGUAUGACGACGGCGUAGGUCAACAACGAAAGCUCCAAGAAAAGAAGAGGGUAGCUGCAAAAGAAAUUGCCCAACAAAUUAAUGGAAAAAGAACUCCAUAGUCCAAGCUUUUCAGUUGAUCAUUCACUUGUAUACUUGGUGUCUUCAGAGUAAAUUGCUUCUUCUUCUCUUCCAUGAUGAUCAUCUCGAUCCGCACUCAGCUGAGACGCAACGAAUCGGUCCAUGGCUCGCCAAUCCAUCGAUUGGUUAUCAAAAGCAUGAAAGAAUGUUUGAGAGGAGGAGGGGGUACUGUUUGCUCGGAGAUGAUCAUAGCUGCUUGACGAGAUGUCAGAGAUCAGCUCGGGACGUCGUGGGAGCUGAGGGGAAGCAUCAUCGAACAUGGCGAAGUGAAGAUGAUGAUGAUCAUCAACCUCAUGCUUGCAGAGGUGAGAGAUUUGAUUUGGAGAAUCAAUGUCUGGCAUGAAGGACAUUUGAUCAUGAUCUUGCCAAUAAGGUGAUUCAUAAUCACCCAUCUUUUGGAUUGCUGUCAUUUUCUUCUUGAAAACCCUACACACCACCCAUCCUUCUUCCUGAAUAGAAAUAAUUCAGACAUUAAAAAGAUGAAAAACAUCAUAUAACCCAUUAGAUUUACGUGUUCCGGACAUGUGUUUAAUUAAAUCGUCGUUAAUAUUAACUAA
Molecule: long non-coding RNA, 845 nt
Organism: Cucumis melo (muskmelon)
Lineage: Eukaryota; Viridiplantae; Streptophyta; Magnoliopsida; Cucurbitales; Cucurbitaceae
Exons: 2
Source: RefSeq, a predicted model, not a curated record